This 497-nucleotide ribosomal RNA is filed under the name uncultured bacterium. Its description in RNAcentral is "partial 16S ribosomal RNA". It matches the Rfam family "Bacterial small subunit ribosomal RNA", at positions 28 to 507 of the family's 1533-position model. The record is from RNAcentral.
GACGAACGCUGGCGGCGUGCCUAAUACAUGCAAGUAGAACGCUGAAGCGAGGAGCUUGCUCUUCUUGGAUGAGUUGCGAACGGGUGAGUAACGCGUAGGUAACCUGCCUUGUAGCGGGGGAUAACUAUUGGAAACGGUAGCUAAUACCGCAUAACAAUGGAUGACACAUGUCAUUUAUUUGAAGGGGGCAAUUGCUCCACUACAAGAUGGACCUGCGUUGUAUUAGCUAGUAGGUGAGGUAAUGGCUCACCUAGGCGACGAUACAUAGCCGACCUGAGAGGGUGAUCGGCCACACUGGGACUGAGACACGGCCCAGACUCCUACGGGAGGCAGCAGUAGGGAAUCUUCGGCAAUGGGGGCAACCCUGACCGAGCAACGCCGCGUGAGUGAAGAAGGUUUUCGGAUCGUAAAGCUCUGUUGUAAGUCAAGAACGGGUGUGAGAGUGGAAAGUUCACACUGUGACGGUAGCUUAACAGAAAGGGACGGCUAACUACGUG